This 191-nucleotide ribosomal RNA is filed under the name Haemophilus influenzae. RNAcentral's name for it is "partial 23S ribosomal RNA". It matches the Rfam family "Bacterial large subunit ribosomal RNA", at positions 2743 to 2925 of the family's 2925-position model. The record is from RNAcentral. Lineage: Bacteria; Pseudomonadati; Pseudomonadota; Gammaproteobacteria; Pasteurellales; Pasteurellaceae.
GGGUAGCUAAGUGCGGAAGAGAUAAGUGCUGAAAGCAUCUAAGCACGAAACUUGCCAAGAGAUGAGUUCUCCCAAUCUAAGAGAUAGUAAGGGUUGUUGUAGACUACGACGUAGAUAGGUCUGGUGUAUAAGUGUAGUGAUACAUUGAGCUAACAGAUACUAAUUGCCCGAGAGGCUUAACUAUACAACGC